RNAcentral lists this ribosomal RNA (758 nucleotides) under uncultured marine haptophyte. Its description in RNAcentral is "bacterial SSU rRNA". It matches the Rfam family "Bacterial small subunit ribosomal RNA", at positions 545 to 1311 of the family's 1533-position model. Lineage: Eukaryota; Haptophyta. The record is from RNAcentral.
CCGGAAUCAUUGGGCGUAAAGCGCCUGUAGGUUGUUUAUUAAGUCUGUUGUUAAAGACUAGGGCUUAACCCUGGGAAAGCAAUGGAAACUACUAGACUUGAGUAUGGCAGGGGUAGAGGGAAUUUCUAGUGUAGCGGUGAAAUGCGUAGAUAUUAGAAAGAACACCGGCGGCGAAAGCGCUCUACUGGACCAUUACUGACACUCAGAGGCGAAAGCUAGGGGAGCAAAAGGGAUUAGAUACCCCUGUAGUCCUAGCCGUAAACGAUGGAUACUAGAUGUUGCGCAAUUUGUGCAGUAUCUUAGCUAACGCGUUAAGUAUCCCGCCUGGGGAGUACGCUCGCAAGGGUGAAACUCAAAGGAAUUGACGGGGGCCCGCACAAGCGGUGGAGCAUGUGGUUUAAUUCGAUGCAACGCGAAGAACCUUACCAGGGCUUGACAUACUACAAAUCUUUUCGAAACGAAAGAGUGCCUUCGGGAAUGUAGAUACAGGUGGUGCAUGGCUGUCGUCAGCUCGUGUCGUGAGAUGUUGGGUUAAGUCCCGCAACGAGCGCAACCCUCAUUUUUAGUUGCCAAUUUAUUGGGAUUUCUAGAGAGACUGCCGGUGACAAACCGGAGGAAGGUGAGGAUGACGUCAAGUCAGCAUGCCCCUUAUGCCCUGGGCCACACACGUGCUACAAUGGCGAAGACAAAGAGUCGCAAACCUGCGAAGGCUAGCUAAUCUCGUAAACUUCGUCUAAGUUCGGAUUGCAGGCUGCAAC